This 116-nucleotide ribosomal RNA is filed under the name Carlito syrichta (Philippine tarsier). The record is from RNAcentral. Lineage: Eukaryota; Metazoa; Chordata; Mammalia; Primates; Tarsiidae.
UUCUGUGGUCAUACCACCUGGAAUGUACCCAAUCUUAUCUGAUCUUGGAAACUAAGCAUGAUCAGUCCUGGUAAGUACUUGGAUGGGAGACCUUUCACAUUUUCUGUUGAUGGAAU